UACGUAGGGGGCAAGCGUUGUCCGGAAUCAUUGGGCGUAAAGCGCGUGUAGGCGGCCCGGUAAGUCCGCUGUGAAAGUCCAGGGCUCAACCCUGGAAUGCCAGUGGAAACUGUCGAGCUAGAGUCCGGAAGAGGCGAGUGGAAUUCCUGGUGUAGCGGUGAAAUGCGCAGAUAUCAGGAGGAACACCAAUGGCGAAGGCAGCUCGCUGGGACGGUACUGACGCUGAGACGCGAAAGCGUGGGGAGCAAACAGG
This 253-nucleotide ribosomal RNA is filed under the name uncultured bacterium. RNAcentral describes it as "partial 16S ribosomal RNA". It matches the Rfam family "Bacterial small subunit ribosomal RNA", at positions 524 to 776 of the family's 1533-position model. The record is from RNAcentral.